This 468-nucleotide long non-coding RNA is filed under the name Triticum aestivum (bread wheat). Its description in RNAcentral is "long non-coding RNA (TAES_LNC019094)". The record is from RNAcentral. Lineage: Eukaryota; Viridiplantae; Streptophyta; Magnoliopsida; Poales; Poaceae.
AAGCUUUCCUCCUCUUCUCUUCUCAUUUUCUUUACCACCAACUCUACUUGAGUAUAUAGCAAAAAAUACCACGUUACACGCUUUUGUCCGAAAAACUAUCAAUUUUAUAUUUUUUUCAAAAAACUACAACAUUUUUGGUUCGGUGUUUCAAAAAACUACUAUGUCGCACUGAUGACUUUGUUGGUUAACUUUAAACGUUAUUAUGGCAGCUCGGGUCUACCCGUCCGGUUGACCGUUAGGUUGAUCAUUGACAGCUUAUGGCGGGUGGGGCCCAAAUAUUUAUUGACAUGCAAUCGGGUCCCUGAAAAAAUAUAAGAAAAGCAAUCAGGUUCUGUAAAAAUAUUAAAAAAAGCAAUCAGGUCCCUAAAAGAUAAUAGAAAAGGCGAUCGGGUCCUCGCCAGCAAGUUCGUCGCCGGAGCCGGCCAGCACCAUGCCGGCGAGCUCGUCGCCAGGGCCGGCCAAGACCAC